CAGUAAGAAAGUUGAGAAGUUUCUGGAGUCAGGAGAACACGAGUCAUUAUCGUUACCACCGUGUACAGGAUUCCAGAGAAAACUAACUUACCAGUCCUUACAAACAAAAACCAGCAGUUUAACCUGGAAAGAUUAAACUCAGACCUAGAUGUUUAUUUACUGGGAGGUACCUAACCUCUUAGUUUCUGCCAUCAGGUCUGUCCCUGAGAGAACACAAGGAAGACAGCAACUUCUACUGCUUGAAGACAAAGUACAGCUUGCUCACGCCAUCUACAAAACUGGAAAUAAGGAAUGGAAAAGUAAGGUGGCAGAAUUGAUUGGCUGUGCAAUGAAUGAGGAGGAGACAGAAUGGCAACAUUUCUGCGACAAUGUCUGGAACUGAUUGCCAGAGUGGCUGAGAUACUUACUGCAGAAACCUUUCAGAUAUUGACUGAUAUAUAUGGUUGUAUAUGGUAGUGGAGUGAAGCUGUUUGAACUGACUUCUACAGAGCAGACUGUUCUACAAACUGAUCUGAUUGAAGUGCUUACUUUGUGAGAGCAUGCAGGCAGCUAAAGACAGAAGGUCAACAAAAUCAGGGUUUUUUUUAAAGCAAGAAGGAAACAGCAGAAAAUGUGAAAAUAGAAAGAAGAUCAAGGGAACAAAGGAACCUGAAUAGAAUAAACUUUUAAAGAUUUUAUGCUAAAACUAAAUUUAUAAGAACAGUAGUGAUGGAUUAAUCUCCCAUAUAUUUUAGCCUGCUGGUGGCAAAUUAUUUUGCCUUUGCUACCAAGAUCAGCUUGCACGUUCUUCCCAUACCAUGAAGCUUCAAUAUUUUUUCUACUAUUAUAGAUUAUGGGUGUAUUAGAAUCGAAAUAACUUAUAGCAAAAGCAUGUUUUAACACUAUUUAUACACUCUGGUGAUAAUACCUCAUACAAAUUAUGCUCGACGUAUAACCACCCAUCGUGUAUAUAUAGUGUUAAAACACUAUUUUGCUACAAAUAUUUCUUAGAUAAUGUUUCCCAUGAAGAGAAUAUAUUUUCUAUCUUGUUUUGUUGAAAAAUGAGACAUUGUAAAAUACAGAUUAAAGCAAGUCGCUGUUUUGUUACAUGCUUAUUUCAAGCCUGAAAGUUCUGUCCGAAAGCAUGCAAUACUGUUACUUAAAG
Mercenaria mercenaria is the source of this 1144-nucleotide long non-coding RNA. RefSeq lists it as uncharacterized. NCBI's taxonomy places the organism in Eukaryota, Metazoa, Mollusca, Bivalvia, Venerida, Veneridae. The record is from RefSeq and is a predicted model, not a curated record. The transcript is spliced from 6 exons.